This 606-nucleotide long non-coding RNA is filed under the name Nicotiana benthamiana. RNAcentral's name for it is "long non-coding RNA (NBEN_LNC037197)". The record is from RNAcentral. Lineage: Eukaryota; Viridiplantae; Streptophyta; Magnoliopsida; Solanales; Solanaceae.
CACAUGUCAUCUAUGCCAACAUCUCCCCACCGUAUCUCCAGAAUAGUAGUCGCAGCAAUUGAUAUAAAAAGUGCCAUGAACACAAUGCUAGCAUAGUUGGUAAGCUGCAGACAGUAAAGAAUAGUCAGCAAAAACACAUUAGAUGAGUCCUGUUAUUAAAUUUUACAGGAACUGAAGAUAGUGAAAUCAAAGAAUAGUCAGCAAAAAUACAUUAGAUGAGUCCUGUUAUUAAAAUUUUACAGGAACUGAAGAUGGUGAAAUUUCAAGUAGGCGUCCCUAAUACACAGACGUCAGAAAUUGGAAUCAUGGUUUAAAUGACAGAUCAAAUAGCAUGUGAAUAUGGGGGAUGGGAAGCCAACAGUUGUCAUGCUGUUUAUUGAAAGAACUUCCCAGUUUGAGAUUUAGUAAUUCGUGUAUGUCAUACAUCAAACGAAAUAUAGCACUUCAUGUUAGAUACUAUUUUGAUAGAAAUCAAUUAAGGGAGUUCAAACAUUCAAUAUGCAUUGAUAUUUUCAGAACAGAGGUUUAUGUGACAGAACUUAAGAUAAACAGUUGAUGCAACAUGACCAAAUGAAUAACAAGGAAACAAUGAAGGGGAAGCCUUAC